This 75-nucleotide transfer RNA is filed under the name Bacteriophage DSS3_MAL1. RNAcentral's name for it is "tRNA-Trp". It matches the Rfam family "tRNA". From Rfam's summary of the family: Transfer RNA (tRNA) molecules are approximately 80 nucleotides in length. Their secondary structure includes four short double-helical elements and three loops (D, anti-codon, and T loops). Lineage: Duplodnaviria; Heunggongvirae; Uroviricota; Caudoviricetes. The record is from RNAcentral.
AGGGGUGUAGCUCAGUGGUAGAGCAGCGGUCUCCAAAACCGCGUGUCGGGGGUUCGAUCCCCUCCACCCCUGCCA